AUUGAACGCUGGCGGCAGGCUUAACACAUGCAAGUCGAGCGGGGUGAUGGUGCUUGCACUAUCACUUAGCGGCGGACGGGUGAGUAAUGCUUAGGAAUCUGCCUAUUAGUGGGGGACAACAUCUCGAAAGGGAUGCUAAUACCGCAUACGUCCUACGGGAGAAAGCAGGGGAUCACUUGUGACCUUGCGCUAAUAGAUGAGCCUAAGUCGGAUUAGCUAGUUGGUGGGGUAAAGGCCUACCAAGGCGACGAUCUGUAGCGGGUCUGAGAGGAUGAUCCGCCACACUGGGACUGAGACACGGCCCAGACUCCUACGGGAGGCAGCAGUGGGGAAUAUUGGACAAUGGGGGAAACCCUGAUCCAGCCAUGCCGCGUGUGUGAAGAAGGCCUUAUGGUUGUAAAGCACUUUAAGCGAGGAGGAGGCUCUUUUGGUUAAUACCCAAGAUGAGUGGACGUUACUCGCAGAAUAAGCACCGGCUAACUCUGUGCCAGCCGCCGCCGUAA
Molecule: ribosomal RNA, 503 nt
Filed under: uncultured bacterium
Lineage: Bacteria
Description: partial 16S ribosomal RNA
Rfam family: Bacterial small subunit ribosomal RNA
Source: RNAcentral